UACGAGAAACACGUCCUUCGGGGCGUGGAGUAAAGUGGCGCACGGGUGAGUAACACGUGGGUAACCUGCCCUUGGAACCGGGAUAACUGGCCGAAAGGCCCGCUAAUACCGGAUAAGACCACAUGAGCUUCGGUUCAUGCGGCCAAAGUCGGCCUAUCGAAGAAGCUGACGCCCGAGGAUGGGCCCGCGGACCAUUAGCUUGUUGGUGAGGUAACGGCUCACCAAAGCCGAGAUGGUUAGCUGGUCUGAGAGGAUGAUCAGCCACACUGGAACUGAGAUACGGUCCAGACUCCUACGGGAGGCAGCAGUGAGGAAUAUUGCGCAAUGGAGGCAACUCUGACGCAGCAACGCCGCGUGGGUGAAGAAGGCUUUCGGGUUGUAAAGCCCUGUCAGGUGGGAAGAACCCUCUCUGAGUUAAUAGCUCAGAGGAAUGACGGUACCACCAAAGGAAGCACCGGCUAACUCCGUGCCAGCAGCCGCGGUAAGACGGAGGGUGCAAGCGUUGUUCGGAAUCACUGGGCGUAAAGCGCGUGUAGGCGGCUCGAUAAGUCGAUUGUGAAAGCCCGAGGCUCAACCUCGGAAGCGCAUUCGAAACUGUCGGGCUUGAGUACGGGAGAGGGAAGUGGAAUUCCUGGUGUAGAGGUGAAAUUCGUAGAUAUCAGGAGGAACACCGGUGGCGAAGGCGGCUUCCUGGACCGAUACUGACGCUGAGACGCGAAAGCGUGGGGAGCAACAGGAUUAGAUACCCUGGUAGUCCACGCCGUAAACUGUGAGCGCUAGUGUAGCGGGUAUU
This 793-nucleotide ribosomal RNA is filed under the name uncultured bacterium. RNAcentral's name for it is "bacterial SSU rRNA". It matches the Rfam family "Bacterial small subunit ribosomal RNA", at positions 65 to 832 of the family's 1533-position model. The record is from RNAcentral.